GACGAACGCUGGCGGCGUGCUUAACACAUGCAAGUCGAACGGAAAGGCCCUGCUUUUGUGGGGUGCUCGAGUGGCGAACGGGUGAGUAACACGUGAGUAACCUGCCCUUGACUUUGGGAUAACUUCAGGAAACUGGGGCUAAUACCGGAUAGGAGCUCCUGCUGCAUGGUGGGGGUUGGAAAGUUUCGGCGGUUGGGGAUGGACUCGCGGCUGAUCAGCUUGUUGGUGGGGUAGUGGCUUACCAAGGCUUUGACGGGUCGCCGGCCUGAGAGGGUGACCGGCCACAUUGGGACUGAGAUACGGCCCAGAGUCGUACGGGAGGCAGCAGUGGGGAAUAUUGCACAAUGGGCGGAAGCCUGAGGAAGAAACGCCGCGUGCGGGAUGACGGCCUUCGGGUUGUAAACCGCUGUCGCUUGUGACGAAGCGGGAGUGACGGUAAUGGGUAAAGAAGCACCGGCUAACUACGUG
RNAcentral lists this ribosomal RNA (468 nucleotides) under uncultured bacterium. RNAcentral describes it as "partial 16S ribosomal RNA". It matches the Rfam family "Bacterial small subunit ribosomal RNA", at positions 28 to 507 of the family's 1533-position model. The record is from RNAcentral.